Molecule: ribosomal RNA, 403 nt
Filed under: uncultured bacterium
Lineage: Bacteria
Description: bacterial SSU rRNA
Rfam family: Bacterial small subunit ribosomal RNA
Source: RNAcentral
UUUUGGACAAUGGGGGCGACCCUGAUCCAGCAAUGCCGCGUGCAGGAAGAAGGCCUUCGGGUUGUAAACUGCUUUUGUCAGGGAAGAGAUCCUGUGGGUUAAUACCUCGUGGGGAUGACGGUACCUGAAGAAUAAGCACCGGCUAACUACGUGCCAGCAGCCGCGGUAAUACGUAGGGUGCGAGCGUUAAUCGGAAUUACUGGGCGUAAAGCGUGCGCAGGCGGUUUUGUAAGACAGAGGUGAAAUCCCCGGGCUCAACCUGGGAACUGCCUUUGUGACUGCAAGGCUGGAGUACGGCAGAGGGGGAUGGAAUUCCGCGUGUAGCAGUGAAAUGCGUAGAUAUGCGGAGGAACACCGAUGGCGAAGGCAAUCCCCUGGGCCUGUACUGACGCUCAUGCACGAA